This 305-nucleotide ribosomal RNA is filed under the name uncultured bacterium. RNAcentral describes it as "bacterial SSU rRNA". It matches the Rfam family "Bacterial small subunit ribosomal RNA", at positions 338 to 639 of the family's 1533-position model. The record is from RNAcentral.
CCUACGGGGGGCAGCAGUGAGGAAUAUUGGUCAAUGGGCGCAAGCCUGAACCAGCCAAGUCGCGUGAGGGAAGACGGCCCUACGGGUUGUAAACCUCUUUUGCCGGGGAGCAAGCCUGAGCACGUGUGCCCAGGCGGAGAGUACCCGGAGAAAAAGCAUCGGCUAACUCCGUGCCAGCAGCCGCGGUAAUACGGAGGAUGCGAGCGUUAUCCGGAAUUAUUGGGUGUAAAGGGUGCGUAGACGGAAGAACAAGUUGGUUGUGAAAUCCCUCGGCUCAACUGAGGAACUGCAACCAAAACUAUUCU